This 780-nucleotide non-coding RNA is filed under the name Oxytauchira flange. Lineage: Eukaryota; Metazoa; Arthropoda; Insecta; Orthoptera; Acrididae. The record is from RNAcentral.
UUAAAGUUUUAUUCUUUCUUGAAUUUUUGUUUUUUCUUUAUGUUAUAUGUAAGUUUUGUUUUGCUAAAUGUUCUUUUUGCAGUAAUUUAAUUUAAUUAUCAAUUUAUUUUGGAAUUAGUAAUUGAUUUAAUAUCAGCGAAUUUUGUGCCAGCAGCUGCGGUUAUACAAUAGAUAUAAAUAAAUAAUUUUGGGUUAUUAACAGUUAAUUUUAUUUUUGAGUUAAUUUUGAAGUUUUUAAGGUAAAAUUUAAAUUUUUAAUAUUACUCUUAUUAUGAACCUGUGAGACUUAAAUAAUAAACUAGGAUUAGAUACCCUAUUAUAUUAAGUGUGAAAUAUUAUUACCUGAGUAGUAUAAGUUAAGUUCUUUAAACUCAAAGAAUUUGGCGGUAUCUUAUUCCAUUCAGAGGAACCUGUCCCGUAAUUGAUAAUACACGAUUAACUUUACUUAAUUUAUUUGUUUGUAUAUCUCCGUUAUCAGAAAAUUUUUUUAGAUCUAUAAUUUUCUAUAUUUAUAAUUAUAAAGUAUUUCAGGUCAAGUUGCAGCUUAUAAUUAAGAGGAGGUGGGUUACAAUAGAUUUAUGUUUAAAUGGAUUUAAUAAUGCAAUUUUAUUAAUAAAGGUGGAUUUGAUAGUAAUUUAAUUUAUUUAAUUAAUUUGAUUUUGGCUCUGAGGUGUGUACAUAUCGCCCGUCGCUCUCAUUUUUGAUAAUGUAUGAAUAUUUAUAACAAACUGAGAUAAGUCGUAACAUAGUAGAUGUACUGGAAAGUGUAUCUGGUAAGGA